AAUGAAAGUAAAGAGUUGAGUUUAUAAUUGAGAAUUUAUUCUCUAUUAUUUCUCUCUUUUGGGAAGAUGAAAAUUUAAUUUAUAAUCUAUUUUAGAUUAUUUAUUUAAAUUUUUCGCAUUCCCAGGGCGCUUGUUUCACGCUUUGCGUGUCGAUGCGCACCCAGAGCGUACACGCUGAUACCCGAAAGAUGGUGAACUAUGCCUGGCCAGGACGAAGCCAGGGGAAACCCUGGUGGAGGUCCGCAGCGAUUCUGACGUGCAAAUCGAUCGUCGGAGCUGGGUAUAGGGGCGAAAGACCAAUCGAACCAUCUAGUAGCUGGUUCCCUCUGAAGUUUCCCUCAGGAUAGCUUGCGCUCGUCUUAUGAGUCUCAUCCGGUAGAGCGAAUGAUUAGAGGCAUUGGGGUCGAAACGACCUCAACCUAUUCUCAAACUCCAAAUAGAUGAGACCCCCGGCUUUCUUAAAAU
This 465-nucleotide ribosomal RNA is filed under the name Zelus nugax. RNAcentral's name for it is "eukaryotic LSU rRNA". It matches the Rfam family "Eukaryotic large subunit ribosomal RNA", at positions 716 to 1097 of the family's 3401-position model. The record is from RNAcentral. Lineage: Eukaryota; Metazoa; Arthropoda; Insecta; Hemiptera; Reduviidae.